This 89-nucleotide ribosomal RNA is filed under the name Microbacterium sp. LEMMJ01. RNAcentral's name for it is "partial 16S ribosomal RNA". It matches the Rfam family "Bacterial small subunit ribosomal RNA", at positions 1 to 85 of the family's 1533-position model. The record is from RNAcentral. Lineage: Bacteria; Bacillati; Actinomycetota; Actinomycetes; Micrococcales; Microbacteriaceae.
UUUUUACGGAGAGUUUGAUCCUGGCUCAGGAUGAACGCUGGCGGCGUGCUUAACACAUGCAAGUCGAACGGUGAAGCAGGAGCUUGCUC